Balaenoptera musculus (blue whale) is the source of this 1114-nucleotide long non-coding RNA. RefSeq lists it as uncharacterized. The record is from RefSeq and is a predicted model, not a curated record. Lineage: Eukaryota; Metazoa; Chordata; Mammalia; Artiodactyla; Balaenopteridae. The transcript has 5 exons.
CGACGUCUCUGCUCAUGCUCCGGGCGCCAGCUGUGGGGACUUUUCGCAGCGCUCAGUUCACAUGUGUACGUCGGAAGUGAUACUUGGGUCUGGCAUUCAAGGACGCUCUCGUUCCUGUUCCAGCGUCUCGCUGGAGUCGGUCGUGGUCCAGGAGUCAAGAGCCCGCCCGGGAGAAGGAGCAGGUCACGGUCUCGGUCCGAAAGGCGCCACCAGAGAAAGUACGGGCGCCACUCGCAGUCUUCCUCGCGGAGCGGGUCGCGAUCCCGUAGGAAGUGUCGCUCUCGGGGAAGGUCGUAUUACAGAAGGGCCUUCUCGAACACGCAGGGUGACAGUACUAGGGCUCUGACCCUGUGGUGUACCCGAAAGAACACAGCACUUGGAGGGAGAGAUCCAGGAAGAGGUCGCAGAGCAGAACCCCGUUUCCUGUAAAAUGGAGCUAUUAGAAAUAGCAAAAGCAAGCGCAGCUAAAUCAUUCGGAACAGCCAACCUUGACUUCCCAGCUAGUCUCAGAACUGUUCCUUGUAUCUAAAGAAAGAAACUGUGGAACAGCUGUACUAAAUACUGCAAAGUUCAAGUUUCUUGUGUCAUAAGUGGGUUCUGAAGACUAUCCCCUGACAUGCCCUGAGGCCGGUGAGUAACCAGGUGCCAGUACCUAACAAGCCCAUUGUGCUCACUGCUUUCUCAUUGACCAUGGAGUUCUAGGGAUCCCAUCCAGGACAGCACAUUACAUUUAUGUCUCCUGAGGCUCCUCUUAACUGUGACAGUUUCUCAGACUUUCCUUGUUUCUGAUGCACAGAUUUGAGGAGUACUGGUCAGGAAUAUUGUAGGUGUUGGUUAUUUUUUGUAUGUAACAUUUCAUGAUUAAAACUUACUAAUCAGGGGGACUUCCCUGGUGGUCCAGUGGUUAAGAAUCCAUCUGCCAAUGCAGGGGACACAGGUUCCAUCCCUGGUCUGGGAAGAUCCCAUAUGCCGUGGGGCAGCUAAGCCCGUGCACCAUACUACCAAGCCCGAGCUCUAGAACCCGCGUGCCGCAACUACUGAGCCUGCGUGCUGCAACUACUGAAGCCUGCACGCCUAGAGCCCGUGCUCCACAACAAGAGAAGCCACUGCAGUG